RNAcentral lists this RNase P RNA (347 nucleotides) under Bacteroidales bacterium. Its description in RNAcentral is "RNase P RNA component class A". It matches the Rfam family "Bacterial RNase P class A". From Rfam's summary of the family: Ribonuclease P (RNase P) is a ubiquitous endoribonuclease, found in archaea, bacteria and eukarya as well as chloroplasts and mitochondria. Its best characterised activity is the generation of mature 5'-ends of tRNAs by cleaving the 5'-leader elements of precursor-tRNAs. Lineage: Bacteria; Pseudomonadati; Bacteroidota; Bacteroidia; Bacteroidales. The record is from RNAcentral.
AAGGUGGGGCGAUCUGCCGCCCGAAAGGGAGGAAAGUCCGGACAGGACAGGGCAUCCCGCUGCGGAAAGCGCAGGUAGGGGUAACCUUACGCCCGUCGUAACAGAGAACAACCGCCGGCACACAAGCGUGGGAGGCUUCGGCCGCACACCACGCGCCGGCAAGGGUGAAAACGCGGGGCAAGAGCCCACGACGCACGUCAGCGAUGCCGUGCGGGUACGACACCGGGACCUGCAAAACCAAAUAUACUGGCAGAUGAGGACGGCCCGUCCGAUGCCAGGGGGUAGGUUGCGAAGAUAAAUGGCAGAAAAUCCGUGAACAGAAACCGGCUUACGGCUCCACCUUUUCU